Molecule: long non-coding RNA, 701 nt
Filed under: Sus scrofa (pig)
Lineage: Eukaryota; Metazoa; Chordata; Mammalia; Artiodactyla; Suidae
Description: lncRNA (ENSSSCG00050029506.1)
Source: RNAcentral
GCCGCUCGCCGCCUCUUUGUCUGCUCCGGGACUUGGAACAAAAGGGGGAACUCUGAUGAACUCUCUCCUCCCCUCUUCCCCGGACGCCCGGGUAUCUCCCUCUCGCAACUUUGCCGCCGCGACUUUCUCCGCUGUCAGGCCACACAAAAGUGUCCGAGCGCCUCGCGGACAGCAACGAGGGAAAGGUCUCCAAAAAGUGCGACCAAGUGGGGAAGAAGGCGUGAUUACCACUGUCAGCGUCUAGAACGCAUCAUGAGUACGCUGAGUUCCUCUGUACUGCAUUGUUCUUAAGGAUCAGUGAUCUUUAUGGACGUACAAUACAACAUCGAGUCAUUCCUGGAUGAAAAGUUAUCAAACUUCGUCCUUUGGAGUUACUUAAAAGUUAAGAUGUUGGAAUUUUUGAUAAUGCCUUCCCUAUGUGGAUUACUACAAUUUGAUCCCUGGGAAUUCUCCACCUUAAAGAAGUACUCUCAGGGGACUACAGAAGCGUCCACACCAUGCAUGUUCAGAAAUGCUGUGAGGACAGAAAUAUUAUGUUCUUAUAAAGGAGAAAGCAGAAGCUCAGAUUUCAAGGACUUGGGCCCAAACGGCGUUCAACUGGAAAGCUGGCACGUAACACUGCAGUGCUGAUCUUGGGGGACCUGUAGAGAACAACAUCAAGUGCAGGAAUGCCACGUUCCCAGGAGAUGUGCCAUCUGACU